This 565-nucleotide ribosomal RNA is filed under the name uncultured bacterium. RNAcentral describes it as "bacterial SSU rRNA". It matches the Rfam family "Bacterial small subunit ribosomal RNA", at positions 338 to 916 of the family's 1533-position model. The record is from RNAcentral.
CCUACGGGAGGCAGCAGUGGGGAAUUUUCCGCAAUGGGCGAAAGCCUGACGGAGCAAUACCGCGUGAGGGAAGACUGCCUAUGGGUUGUAAACCUCUUUUUUCAGGGAGGAAUCAAUGACGUGUACCUGAAGAAUAAGCAUCGGCUAGCUCCGUGCCAGCAGCCGCGGUAAGACGGAGGAUGCAAGUGUUAUCCGGAAUCACUGGGCGUAAAGCGUCUGUAGGUGGUUUAAUAAGUCAACUGUUAAAUCUUGAGGCUCAACUUCAAAAUCGCAGUCGAAACUAUUAGACUAGAGUAUAGUAGAGGUAAAGGGAAUUUCCAGUGGAGCGGUGAAAUGCGUAGAUAUUGGAAAGAACACCGAUGGCGAAAGCACUUUACUGGGCUAUUACUGACACUCAGAGACGAAAGCUAGGGUAGCAAAUGGGAUUAGAUACCCCAGUAGUCCUAGCCGUAAACAAUGGAUACUAGAUGUUGAACAGAUCGACCUGUGCAGUAUCAAAGCUAACGCGUUAAGUAUCCCGCCUGGGAAGUAUGCUCGCAAGAGUGAAACUCAAAGGAAUUGACGG